RNAcentral lists this ribosomal RNA (470 nucleotides) under uncultured bacterium. Its description in RNAcentral is "partial 16S ribosomal RNA". It matches the Rfam family "Bacterial small subunit ribosomal RNA", at positions 28 to 507 of the family's 1533-position model. The record is from RNAcentral.
GACGAACGCUGGCGGCGUGCUUAACACAUGCAAGUCGAACGCUGAAGCACCAGCUUGCUGGUGUGGACGAGUGGCGAACGGGUGAGUAAUACGUGAGUAACCUGCCCUUGACUCUGGGAUAAGCCCGGGAAACUGGGUCUAAUACUGGAUGCUACAUGUCACCGCAUGGUGGGGGGUGGAAAGGGUUUACUGGUCUUGGAUGGGAUGACGGCCUAUCAGCUUGUUGGGGGGGUGAUGGCUCACCAAGGCUACGCCGGGUAGCCGGCCUGGGGGGGUGACCGGCCACACUGGGACUGGGACACGGCCCAGACUCCCACGGGGGGCCGGAGGGGGGAAUAUUGCCCAAUGGGCGGAAGCCUGAUGCAGCGACGCCGGGGGGGGGAAUACGGGCUUUGGGUUGGAAACCUGUUUCAGCAGGGAAGAAGCCACGAGUGACGGUAACUGGAGAAGAAGCGCCGGCUAACUACGUG